GCAGCUAGCUGGGCAGCCGCAUGUUGUGUGGACUGCCUGAUCAGCACAGCUCGCCAGUCAGCACAAAUAUCUGCGCUCCGGGUCUGCAGAGCAGAGAGAGCCACAAGGAAAAGAAGUCUGGAGCGUCUCUGCCAAGAAUUCAGAGUAUGUGGAAAGCCCCAGAAAGAUGGAUGCAGUUGAUUUCUUCAGUAAAGAACACCUUCAGUUUUACAAACAUGGACUCUUCUCAUGCUAUUUUCUAAGAGAGGAAAAACAAAUGUGGCAAGUGUCCUAAUCUAUGACUAAGCAAAGCAAGGGAGGGACCCAGGGUCUGAACCCCACAGCCCUGUCACUGCUCUGGACUGCAGGAGCUGGUCCAGGCAUUGUGGGGGCCAGCUGGCCCAAGGUGUUGAAGAAGAACCACCAAAGUUCAGUGGAAAUCUGAACCCUGGAAGAAGAGAGGAGGCCCUCCACUCUGGCAGUAGAAUUUGUCUCCUGCCGCAUGGCACUGUGGGUUCUGGUUUUUCAUUCCUCUGUUCUGGGGUUUCUCUUAUUGCAUAGCUCCUUUCUGUUGCUAGAGCAAGAAUGAACAACACUGAAAAGAAUCAGUCAUUCAUUAUUUAUCUCUUCACCUGUCCCUUUUGGCAUUAACAUGAUAUGAUACUAUGAGGUUUUGGUGAGGGCCCACUGACACAAAGAUGCAACACAUUGUUUGGAAUGGUGGUUUGUAUUUUAUGUACACAUAUUACCAGAAGUGGCUUUGUCUUUGUGCCCACCACACCACUGAAAACAAAAAGGACUGUACUCUCUCUUAAGGACUGGAUGUAUAAAAAUAUAAUGUCCUGUUAGUGGGAGCCUGUGGCACUGAAGUGUUUCUGCUGACAAGGUACAAGGAAUUACAGCCUGACCCCCCACAGAAAUGCAUUUCCACAGCAAAUACCCAAACUGUUUACAAUGGCAGUGAUAAAGAAUUUCAUGCUUCUCUCCUGUCUUCCUGCUUAGACCAGAAGCCAAAAAAAAAAGGCUGAGACCCCUGGAUAUUUCACUAACCUGGAAAAAAAUGACCAGAGGAGGCAGAGAUCCACUUAAUUAAACUGAGUCAAAGGCUAUGUUGGACACUUUUGCCCUUGUCAAGCUUGCACUUCUUAAUAGUUUGUACAUUUUGUUUAUUCCAGUAAGUGUUUAUAUCUGGUGAUUACUGAAGUGACUGUACUUGGUGCUGCUGGAGAGGACAGAAACCAUCAGCCACUUGAGCACUAAUUCCCUGCAGGAGGCACACGGUGAGAGCAAGCUCAGCCUCAGAGAUCUGAGCAGGCAGGUGUGGGAAUAAGAACACUGAAGCACAGAGGAAGACAGCCACAUGCCUCUGGUGAGCCAAACACAGAGCCUUGCAAGGAGUAAAUAAGAAAAUGGACAAUAUAAGCCCUGGUGCUCAGGGCUCUCUCUCUCUCUGCUGCUCAUCCAGCAGCCACAGAUCUACAUUGCUCAAUACUUGAAUGAAGGCAAAGGAAAAAGCAGUUUUCAUAAUUAUGAGGCAAACUCUCCCAAUUCAGCUAGUUGCCUCCUCUCAUCCUGGCUUGGUACCCCAACUUAUCACACCCAUAAACACACAAAAAAGGAACAGCAGUUGUAGCCGAACAUGUUCAUAUAUAUUGGUAUAUUGGAAACUUUCAGCUUUGUUUCUUUUUUUUUUUUUUCUAUUUCACAUUGCUGCAACAACCCACAUCCCUGCUGGGCUUUGAUUGCAGCUUUAGCUAAUUAUAUUAGUUGAGACAUUUUGUCAUACAGUGAAUCAGAUCCUCAGAUCCUCAACUGAUCUAAAUGAAUGCAGCUGCACUGAUGUUAGUGGAGAUUUUCCUGUUCAUACCAAUUAUUCAUUAUCUCCCCAAAAAUGAAAUGCAAACUGCCAUACUCUAAAACACAGUUUUUAAAGCAAAGGGGCAUACCUUUAGUAGGUCUUUGCAAUUUAUUUCCUAGAACACUUUGGGAACACUAUUUGCACUCUGGAAAGCACCAGAAUAGCAUGGUGGCUAACAAAGAGAAAUGAACUAUGCCUUCAGUACAUUCUCCUGAUGUAUUUUCCCAUCAAAAUAAAACUUUAAGAUUAUUACAACACCCAAAUGUAUUACAUAUAUCCAAGAAAUAAACAAGCAUGGAAGUCUACUAGAUGGCUAUUUUUAUACAGAGUACAGGAGAAACCCAGAAUAGGGAAGAUUGCCUCACAGUUUUCCUCCUGAUAUGGAUUGUCACAUAUGGACAACCAUAAAAAUAUUAUUUAUCUUACACCGUUCUAUUUGGUCUGAAAAUGGUUGUACUUUCUGGCAUGUCAAAGCUAAUGAAUAAAUCCACCUAGGAGCACACUAGCUUUGAAAGGCUCCAGUGUUCUGCAGCUAUUGGCAUUUAGGGCACUGGAUUUGUUUUUUCAAACGGUGUGGCAUGAGAUAAAAGCAGAUUACUUUCCUCCAUCAGCUACAGAUUUUCUCAGGUUUUUUUGCACAGAUGACUGUACACACUCUUCAGCUAUCAGCACCUAAGCAUUCAAAUUCUUCCUGGCAACGUGAACUCUGGGUAAAUUUCAGCUGUCAUCCUGCCUUGUCCCCGAUACCUAGACACAUCUCUAUAGACCCACUCAUCUUCCAUAGCCUUAAACCUUCUGGAAAAAAAGAACCUACUCAAAACAACCAAACAAAAAAGGCAGUCUAACAGAGGUUUACUUCUGCUUUGGCAUGUAUCUUUAAGCUUCAUCUAUCAGCUAUUGAAUGGCUUGUUUUCCCCGGCGUUGCUGGCAGCCGCUGUGCCGCCUGUGUUAGCGCAGGGGCUGCUGUGCGCUGGCAGGG
Long non-coding RNA from Melospiza melodia melodia, 2816 nucleotides. RefSeq lists it as uncharacterized. The transcript is spliced from 4 exons. NCBI's taxonomy places the organism in Eukaryota, Metazoa, Chordata, Aves, Passeriformes, Passerellidae. The record is from RefSeq and is a predicted model, not a curated record.